CCAUAUGUCAUAUACUCUACUGGCAUAUUCAAUGGUGACUGAAGUAAACAUGGUCUUCUUCUUAUGCAGUUGACAGGCUCGCAAAAGAUAGAGAAGUUAACAAACAGCACUGGUGUAGCAGGGGAAGUAAAAUAUGAUGGGAGUUUCCACAGGGAACAUCUCACUACUUCUGGAGAAUACAGGAUCAAGAGGCUCUUGGAAGGAAAUUCUAUUUGAUCAUUUUAUUUGAAGAAUAAUGAAUGGAAGAUCAAGUCUUGAAAAUCUAGGAGGACUUAGAAGCAAGGCCAUUCCAGUGGCAAUGGCCACAUCUAGUGCCCAGAUAAAAAGGAACCAGGGAUCCUCAGAGAAAGGACUGAUUCUAAGCCCAGGGCAAGAAAUAUGCAAGAUGAUCCUGAAGCAUCUUGCAGUGGCAGAAGUGACCAGAAAAAGACAUGCUAUGAAUAUAGUAAGUGUUCAAUGAAGGCAAAGUGGAACGGAAUCUGAUGUAGCCUUUGUGAAUGGACAUAGUGCUUUUUGUCUCUGGGGAGGAAAAUACAGAUCAAUAGAACCAAUGACUGAGACCAUGGACAAUUACUGUGCAGAGAAUGUGAGGAAGAAUACACACUGAAGAAGGAGUGAUGCAGAAAGAAGAGAAUAAGGAUAAAGUUACCAGGACCAAAAGUGCUGAGAAUGAGUUGCAUUAAAUAAUGCAGUUGUAAUUGGUGCCUGAUGAAUAAAUGAACAACACUAAUGUAACUUCAUGCAUACUCAUAGAAACAUUCCCCCACAGAAUAGGUUGUCAGAUAACAUUAUGCAAUAUAUAUAUGUAUAUAUAUGUGUAUAUGUAUAUAUAUGUAUGUGUAUAGAUACAUAUAUAUGUAUGUGUAUAUAUGUGUGUGUGUAUAUACAUAUAUGUGUAUAUAUAUGUAUAUAUGUGUAUAUAUGUGUAUGUAUGUGUGUGUAUAUAUAUAUAUUUAGAUGGAGUCUCGCUCUCUCGCUCAGGCUGGAGUGCAGUGGUGCGAUCUUGGCUCACUGCAAGCCCCGCCUCCCAGGUUCACGCCAUUCUCCUGCCUCAGCCUCCUGAGUAGCUGAGACUACAGGCGCUGGCCACCACGCCUAAUUUUUUUUGUAUUUUUAGUAGAGACGGGGUUUCACCAUGUUAGGCAGGAUGGUCUCAAACUCCUGACCUUGUGAUCUGCCCGCCUCAGCUGCCCAAAGUGCUGGGAUUACAGGCGUGAGCCACCACGCCUGGCCAAUAUUAUGCAAUACAUUAAUGUGGAACAUGGCAACGUUAGGGAAAGUCUCCCAAAUUAUAAGCCGAAGUAAAGUCUUCACAUGAAGUAUGACUUGAUUUUAUUUAAUCAUUUGGUUAUUUUCAUUUAACUUGGGUGAUUAAAUAACUCAUAUUUGAAGUACUGGUGUAAGCAAUGCUGAUGUGUUGUAGAAACCCUGCACAGUACCUGCAUCCUUCCAAAAGUAAACAUAAAAUUAAAUAGCUUGUCAUCUAUUAGUGAUCAUCUUUCUGUUGGGUAAUACAUGCUGUAAUGGACAAUCCAGAAGUGUUCUAAUGGAUCUUGAAUUUUAUUUCUUCUUGUUUUUAUUAUCUUCUAUCUGUGACAUUUGAACCAGGAUAAUAGCCUAAAACAUAAUUGCAAUAGACCUUGUAAAUUAGAAAUGUGACACACAUAUUUCCAUUUUUGGAAAAAGAAUGAAAGUGUGUUUGAGUGGCUUUUUGUUUUAUCUUUCAACAAGUUAGAAUCUAGAAAUCUGUAUACCCUCCUGUAUUUGUCAUGUCUGGUAAGUCAUUGGCAUGUUCCAAAUUCAGAGGAAGAACCUACAUUUUCUCAAACCAUUUAAGAAGAGGCAAGGUUAUUAUCUGAAAAAUCCAAGCCAGAUAUGGAACCAGCUUCAGACUGCCCCGAAAGAGGUGACGUGAAGAGCCCCAUUACUUUCAUGGGCUUGACCUGAUCCCUCAUAAAACUUUCCUCUGUGAUUUCUCAGUAUAAUAUGAAUCCUGUAGGCACCCUGAAAGGGAAAUGAAACUCUUCCAGCUUGUAUUUAAACUUGACCCCAAAGCAUAUAUGUUUCCUGUUCUCAUAAACCCAAUGCCACCAUAGUAUUCAUGACUCAAGAUCAGGGCAGUGACAAAGCGUGAUUUGUUACUGGUGAUGACAUCAUUGUCAUCACCGACAGCAUCAUGGACCGUCUUAGCAUCUCCUUUGCAGGGGAGCACACCAGCCACUCCAGGGAACAGGUAGACAUAUGGGCCCUGUUAGUAGUUUGCCAAGGUCCUAUGAGAGGCAGAAUCUAAAAUGAUUUGGUUUUCCCGGAGCUGCUUUUGUGAGGUAGUGCCUUGAACAACCAGAUAACAGGGCUAUUAAAAGUCAGGUCAUACUUGUAGGGCAUCAUGUUUCUCAUUCAGCAGUUCUACCCCUGGACAUGAGAGAGGUCUAUGGGUUGGGUUUUGGAUUUUGAGUUUAUCUAUAAUACCUAAUACCUAACUUCUUUUUUUUCUUUCCUCCCCCACUGGUUCUGUACAAAGUAAGUAUAGAAGAAAAAGGGGUGGGCAGGUCUUGGAGAAUUGCAGCAGCCGAAGGUAGCUCACUGCAUUCUAGGGUCUCACCAUUAGCUUCUGCCCCCACUGCCCCAUUUCCAGAAUACGGGGUUCCAGGUGAGGACAUUGGGUGCUGGGCAGAAGACAUUAGCCCCAAGAGGCAACAUCACUUCAUUUUAAAAGUUAGUCCGUCCACCUUCCCAGCAAGGGUGCUUACCACGGGCUCCCUCAGAGAAGAUUUUGAAGUGAGGUGGUUAGCAAUUUCCCUUUCUUCCUUCGUUCCUGGUGCAUCCCAUCGCCACCCCCACUCCCACUCCAUCUCCUUGUGGCAGCCUGGGCCAAGUUUGUUGCUUGCAGCAGAAAGACUCAAACGUUUUCGUGAUCCAACUGUUUUCAAACAGUCUCGG
RNAcentral lists this long non-coding RNA (2940 nucleotides) under Homo sapiens (human). Its description in RNAcentral is "HSALNT0225471". Lineage: Eukaryota; Metazoa; Chordata; Mammalia; Primates; Hominidae. The record is from RNAcentral.